CGAAAAGUUAUGUAAGGGCGUAUGGGGGAUGCCUAGGCUCUCAGAGGCGAAGAAGGACGUGAUAAGCUGCGAAAAGUUGCGUGGAUUGGCACAUACGAAUUGAUACGCAAAUCUCCGAAUGGGGCAACCCAGUACAUUGAAGAUGUACUACACUGUAAAGUGAGCGAACCCGCUGAACUGAAACAUCUUAGUAGGCGGAGGAGAAGAAAACAAAAGUGAUUCCCAGAGUAGUGGCGAGCGAAAUGGGAUUAGCCCAAACCCACUUUGUUACGGCAUAGUGGGGGUUGUAGGACCCAGAUAUAGGUUGUACUUAAGAAUUAGAAGUGUUUGGAAAGGCACACCAAAGAGAGUGAUAGUCUCGUAUAGGUAAUUGAGUAUAAAUCUUAUGGGUAUCCUGAGUAGGUCGGGGCACGUGGAACCUUGACUGAAUUUGCCGGGACCAUCCGGUAAGGCUAAAUACUCCUGAGAGACCGAUAGUGAACCAGUACCGUGAGGGAAAGGUGAAAAGAACCGUGAAUAACGGAGUGAAAUAGACCCUGAAACCAUACGCCUACAAGCGGUCGGAGCAGCCUUAGGCUGUGACGGCGUGCCUUUUGCAUAAUGAGCCUACGAGUUACUGUUACCAGCGAGGAUAAGUAUUUCAGAUAUGAAUCCGUAGCGAAAGCGAGUCUGAAUAGGGCGAGUAAUAGUUGGUAGUAGUAGACGCGAAACCUGGUGAUCUACCCUUGGGCAGGUUGAAGCGCUGGUAACACAGCGUGGAGGACCGAACUGGUUGUCGUUGAAAAGACUUCGGAUGACCUGAGGGUAGGGGUGAAAGGCCAAUCAAACUGGGAAAUAGCUCGUACUCCCCGAAAUGCAUUUAGGUGCAGCGUUGGUGUGAGUUUAAUAGAGGUAGAGCUACUGAUUGGAUGCGGGGGUUUCAUCGCCUACCAAUUCCUGACAAACUCCGAAUGCUAUUAAAUGCUCAUCAGCAGUGAGGGUAUGGGUGCUAAGGUCCAUAUCCGAGAGGGAAAGAACCCGGACCAUCAGCUAAGGUCCCCAAAUAUAUGCUAAGUUGAAGAUAAAACGCGGUCUGACUGCACUGACAGCUAGGAUGUUGGCUUGGAAGCAGCCAUACAUUUAAAGAGUGCGUAACAGCUCACUAGUCGAGCGGUUGGGCAUGGAUAAUAAACGGGCAUAAGCAUAUUACCGAAGCUAUGGGGUUAUUACGGAUGUAAUAUACCGGUAGGGGAGCAUUCUAUGAGCGUUGAAGCUAAAGGCGUGAGCCAUAGUGGAGCUUAAUAGAAAAGAAAAUGUAGGCAUAAGUAACGAUAAGGCAGGCGAGAAACCUGCCCGCCGAAAGAUCAAGGUUUCCUCAGCUAUGCUAAUCAGCUGAGGGUUAGUCGGGGACUAACGCGCACCCGAGCAGGGGAAGUGGAUGUACAACGGGUUAAUAUUCCCGUACCAUUAGUCUAUUAAAAGCGACGGAAUGAGGUAUCUACCGCGCACUUACGGAAUAGUGCGUUGAAGGUGUUGUUAUGGCACUGAUAGUACACUAAGGCUUCGGCUGCGGUGAUAGUGUAGAGAUAACGUUUCCAAGAAAAGCGAAGACUAAUGCCCGUACCGUAAACCGACACAGGUGAUUGGGAAGAGAAUUCUAAGGCGCUCGAGAGAUUCAUGGCUAAGGAACUAGGCAAAAUAGACCUGUAACUUCGGGAGAAAGGUCGCCUAUCUACGGAUAGGCCGCAGUGAAAAGGUCCAAGCGACUGUUUAACAAAAACACAGGACUCUGCAAAAUUGAAAGAUGAUGUAUAGGGUCUGACACCUGCCCGGUGCUGGAAGGUUAAGAGGAGAGCUUAGUGGUAACACGAAGGUUUGAAUUGAAGCCCCAGUAAACGGCGGCCGUAACUAUAACGGUCCUAAGGUAGCGAAAUUCCUUGUCGGGUAAGUUCCGACCUGCACGAAUGGUGUAACGAUUUGGACACUGUCUCGGCCAUGAGCUCGGUGAAAUUGUAGUAUCGGUGAAGAUGCCGAUUACCCGCAGUGGGACGAAAAGACCCUGUGCACCUUUACUAUAUCUUCGUAUUGGUCUUGGAUAAGUGAUGCGUAGGAUAGGUGGGAGACUAUGAAGCGGCUAUUCUGGUAGUUGUGGAGUCGUUGUUGAAAUACCACCCUUUGCUUAUCUGAGGUCUAACCCUGCGAUGCAGGGGACAAUUCGUGGAGGGUAGUUUGACUGGGGUGGUCGCCUCCAAAAGAGUAACGGAGGCUUCUAAAGGUUUCCUCAGCACGCUUGGUAACCGUGCGUAGAGUGCAAUGGCAUAAGGGAGCUUGACUGAGAGACCUACAAGUCGAUCAGGUACGAAAGUAGAGCAUAGUGAUCCGGUGGUUCCGUAUGGAAGGGCCAUCGCUCAAAGGAUAAAAGGUACGCCGGGGAUAACAGGCUGAUCUCCCCCAAGAGCUCACAUCGACGGGGGGGUUUGGCACCUCGAUGUCGGCUCGUCACAUCCUGGGGCUGGAGAAGGUCCCAAGGGUUGGGCUGUUCGCCCAUUAAAGUGGCACGCGAGCUGGGUUCAGAACGUCGUGAGACAGUUCGGUCUCUAUCUACUGUGGGCGUUAGAAAUUUGCGUGGAUCUGACUCUAGUACGAGAGGACCGAGUUGGACGCACCUCUGGUGUAUCUGUUGUCUUGCCAAGGGCACAGCAGAGUAGCUAAGUGCGGAUGGGAUAAGUGCUGAAAGCAUAUAAGUACGAAACCCGCCACAAGAUGAGAUUUCUUUAAAGGGUCGUGGGAGAUGACCACGUUGAUAGGUUACAGGUGUAACGGUGGUAACAUCAUAGCCGAGUAAUACUAAUAACCCGUAGACUUUUCGCG
Molecule: ribosomal RNA, 2850 nt
Filed under: Capnocytophaga sp. oral taxon 878
Lineage: Bacteria; Pseudomonadati; Bacteroidota; Flavobacteriia; Flavobacteriales; Flavobacteriaceae
Description: bacterial LSU rRNA
Rfam family: Bacterial large subunit ribosomal RNA
Source: RNAcentral